GGACAAUAAGGCAAUAGGUUGAUCCAAUGCAAUCCAAGAAUAUAACAGAAACAUGGAUAGUGACAACUCAAUGGAAAAGAUUAUUUCUAUGCGCAAGCUGUCAUUUGUAUGGUUCCAUAACCUUUUUCUUCCCGGCGCAUUACAUCGUUUGCUUUUUUAAAUCUUGAAGAGAGUUUGCAACCUUAUCGGGUAUUCACCUCACGUACAAUGAAUAUUUCUUGUCCUGGUUGAUAAAUAUUAUUAUUAGCAAUUAUUUGUUUUCUAUUUCUA
Long non-coding RNA from Drosophila albomicans, 270 nucleotides. RefSeq lists it as uncharacterized. NCBI's taxonomy places the organism in Eukaryota, Metazoa, Arthropoda, Insecta, Diptera, Drosophilidae. The record is from RefSeq and is a predicted model, not a curated record. The transcript has 2 exons.